Molecule: ribosomal RNA, 465 nt
Filed under: uncultured bacterium
Lineage: Bacteria
Description: partial 16S ribosomal RNA
Rfam family: Bacterial small subunit ribosomal RNA
Source: RNAcentral
GACGAACGCUGGCGGCGUGCUUAACACAUGCAAGUCGUACGGUAAGGCCCUUUCGGGGGUACACGAGUGGCGAACGGGUGCGUAACACGUGAGUAACCUGCCCACAACUUUGGGAUAACGCUAGGAAACUGGUGCUAAUACUGGAUAUGUGCUCCUGCUGCAUGGUGGGGGUUGGAAAGCUCCGGCGGUUGUGGAUGGACUCGCGGCCUAUCAGCUUGUUGGUGGGGUAGUGGCCUACCAAGGCGGCGACGGGUAGCCGGCCUGAGAGGGUGACCGGCCACAUUGGGACUGAGAUACGGCCCAGACUCCUACGGGAGGCAGCAGUGGGGAAUAUUGCACAAUGGGCGCAAGCCGGAUGCAGCAACGCCGCGUGCGGGAUGACGGCCUUCGGGUUGUAAACCGCUUUCAGCAGGGACGAAGCUUUUUGUGACGGUACCUGCAGAAGAAGCACCGGCUAACUACGUG